AACGAACUAAAGGAAGUUGACGGGGCCCGGCACAAGCGGUGGAGUAUGUGGUUUAAUUCGAUGCAACGCGAAGAACCUUACCUGGUCUUGACAUCCCGGAGACCCUUAGGAAACUAGGGGGUGCUUCCAUCUGGAAGAAUCUGGAGACAGGUGCUGCAUGGCUGUCGUCAGCUCGUGUCGUGAGAUGUUGGGUUAAGUCCCGCAACGAGCGCAACCCUUGCCUUUAGUUGCCAGCAGUUCGGCUGGGCACUCUAAAGGGACUGCCGGUGUUAAACCGGAGGAAGGUGGGGAUGACGUCAAGUCCUCAUGGCCUUUAUGACCAGGGCUACACACGUACUACAAUGGCCGAUACAAAGGGCAGCGACACUGCGAGGUGAAGCCAAUCCCGUAAAAUCGGUCUCAGUCCGGAUUGGAGUCUGCAACUCGACUCCAUGAAGUUGGAAUCGCUAGUAAUCGUGGAUCAGCAUGCCACGGUGAAUACGUUCCCGGGCCUU
RNAcentral lists this ribosomal RNA (494 nucleotides) under uncultured Desulfobulbus sp. RNAcentral describes it as "bacterial SSU rRNA". It matches the Rfam family "Bacterial small subunit ribosomal RNA", at positions 903 to 1382 of the family's 1533-position model. The record is from RNAcentral. Lineage: Bacteria; Pseudomonadati; Thermodesulfobacteriota; Desulfobulbia; Desulfobulbales; Desulfobulbaceae.